ACAUUGCUGUGGCAUACGAAUCCACAUCUAAGUGUUGACCGACUAUUUCUUUGUAUUUCGGGAAACGAAGUCAUCUCUAGUGCGCAAGCCGUUAACACGCGGAAGCCACUUAAAGAGGUGCGAGUUACCCACCUGCUUAUUUUGUGCGGGAUCAAUACAAAAAGUGGAUCAUCGGUGCCAAUACAGCUUCCUA
RNAcentral lists this small RNA (193 nucleotides) under Streptococcus agalactiae. Its description in RNAcentral is "6S RNA". It matches the Rfam family "6S / SsrS RNA". From Rfam's summary of the family: E. coli 6S RNA was the first non coding RNA to be sequenced, but its function was unknown until recently. It consists of 184 nucleotides that fold into an extended hairpin structure with a large single-stranded internal bulge. The 6S RNA specifically associates with RNA polymerase holoenzyme containing the sigma70 specificity factor. The record is from RNAcentral. Lineage: Bacteria; Bacillati; Bacillota; Bacilli; Lactobacillales; Streptococcaceae. RNAcentral also lists the same sequence under 6 other names.